This 690-nucleotide long non-coding RNA is filed under the name Numida meleagris (helmeted guineafowl). RNAcentral's name for it is "lncRNA (ENSNMEG00000020297.1)". Lineage: Eukaryota; Metazoa; Chordata; Aves; Galliformes; Numididae. The record is from RNAcentral.
UGUUUGUGCUUUGUUGCAUCUGCGUUGGAGAAAAAAGCCUUUUCUAAAGCUCUGACAUUAAGCUCAUCUGUCAUAUGGAGCUCGCAUAUAAUAGCUAGACGAUGCAAGCUACUGUUUUCCAGGGAAUAUGCAGUGUCCGCUUUCUUUUAAUUAUUAGGUUUUUUUAAUGAAGUCACGUAUCUCCAUUGCUCUAAAAGCAGCACAUCUCCAGAGAGCAUCAUCCCCUUCCAGCGAGACGCAGUGCAUGCAGAUGUGGAAGAAAACAAAGAGACAGAGAAAGCUCUCAGCCCAAGUGGGCAGGGAGUGAGGGAUCCAUUGGGGAGAUGCUGCUUUGAAAGGAGAUGAGAGGAAGGGACAGAAGGAAGGUUCAGGACAGCGAUGGGGGGCUAUGGCACCUGCUGCCUCUGGGGCACUGUGCAGCUCUUGCAGAGUGUGCAGCCCAAUCACUGUCAUGGUGAGAGUGUUUUAUCAUUGCGGUGUUCCUUCCUCUUGAUCACCAGAGUGUUGGGAGAAGCUGAAGAGGACGUCCCAGGCCAUGUACUGGUGUUGAAGAAGGCUUUCCUGGUCUUGUGUGCUUUGGGCAACCCUACUGUCCUCUCCACAGAGCGUGGCUGGGGGCAGGUGCAGAAGGGCUGCAGGGGUGGGCUGCUCAUAAAGGCUGUUGGAAUCCACCACUGGAAGGGUUUCUAG